RNAcentral lists this transfer RNA (51 nucleotides) under Hemipilia cucullata. RNAcentral's name for it is "Ponerorchis cucullata partial tRNA-Leu". RNAcentral also lists the same sequence under 26 other names. The record is from RNAcentral. Lineage: Eukaryota; Viridiplantae; Streptophyta; Magnoliopsida; Asparagales; Orchidaceae.
AAAAUCCGUCGAAUUUAAAAAUCGUGAGGGUUCAAGUCCCUCUAUCCCCAA